RNAcentral lists this ribosomal RNA (772 nucleotides) under uncultured Neocallimastigales. Its description in RNAcentral is "partial large subunit ribosomal RNA". It matches the Rfam family "Eukaryotic large subunit ribosomal RNA", at positions 23 to 616 of the family's 3401-position model. Lineage: Eukaryota; Fungi; Neocallimastigomycota; Neocallimastigomycetes; Neocallimastigales. The record is from RNAcentral.
AGAGAGAGACAUGCGCGCAUAUCAAUAAGCGGAGGAAAAGAAACUAACAAGGAUUCCCUAGUAACGGCGAGUGAAGCGGGAAGAGCUCAAAUUUGAAAUCUUAAAGGUUUCCCUUGACGAAUUGUAGUUUAAAGAAGUGUUUUCUGUUGAGGUUUUGGUAAAAGUUCUUUGGAAUAGGACAUCAUAGAGGGUGAGAAUCCCGUAUUUGACCAUUACUUUCAGCUUUGUGAUACACUUUCAAAGAGUCGGAUUGUUUGGGAAUGCAGUCCAAAAUGGGUGGUAAAUUUCAUCUAAAGCUAAAUAUUGGCGAGAGACCGAUAGCGAACAAGUACCGUGAGGGAAAGAUGAAAAGAACUUUGAAAAGAGAGUUAAACAGUACGUGAAAUUGUCAAAAGGGAAGCGUUUGACACCAGUGUUGUUUUUCUGAAAAUCAAUUAAAGAACUGUUCAUGCUAAGCUGUUUAGACUUUAUCAGCUAUCUGUUUAGUUUUGAGCUUUUCUUUAAUGCACUUUUCAGUUAACAAGUCAACAUCAAUUUCUUUUGCUGUAAAAAAGCUUGAGGAAGGUGGCUUGAGAUUCGUCUUAAGUGUUUAUAGCCUCUUGCCUAUGCAGUCGGAGAGAUUGAGGUCUGCAGCGUAGAUCCUUCGGGGCUAAAUGCAUUUGUGCUAAGUUAUAGCAUUUUAUAGACAACUUGUUGACUAUGAUUUGUCUUGUAGCUUACUCGCUUAUGUUAUUUUACCUACGCUUAGGAUGUUGAGCGCAUGUCUCUCUCU